Molecule: non-coding RNA, 380 nt
Organism: Cucurbita pepo subsp. pepo (vegetable marrow)
Lineage: Eukaryota; Viridiplantae; Streptophyta; Magnoliopsida; Cucurbitales; Cucurbitaceae
Source: RefSeq, a predicted model, not a curated record
UCCACCUUUAUAAGGAAUGCUUCGUCCUCGCUGACACUUGUUCCAAUCGAUGUGAGAUCUCACAGAUUUCUUGCACUAGAGAUGGAGCUAUCUCGUUUUCUCUACAAGCUUUUCUCCUCCCUCAUGCUGAUUCACGUCUUUUUGUAUUAACUCGAUAUUCAAAUCAAUUCCUUUAUGCAAAUAGAAGAGGGCAUAGGCUACGUUCGCUUUGCUCUUCUCCUUCAUGCUAAUUCAUGUCUUUUUGUAUUAACUCGAUAUUCAAAUCAAUUCCUUUAUGCAAAUAGAAGAGGGCAUAGGCUAUGUUCGGUAAAUAUCUUCACCCUAUAGAUUACUUUUAUUAUUGUUAUCUUUUAAAUGUUAUGCUUUUGCCAUCCUAUUUU